This 482-nucleotide ribosomal RNA is filed under the name uncultured bacterium. Its description in RNAcentral is "partial 16S ribosomal RNA". It matches the Rfam family "Bacterial small subunit ribosomal RNA", at positions 30 to 507 of the family's 1533-position model. The record is from RNAcentral.
AUUGAACGCUGGCGGCAUGCCUUACACAUGCAAGUCGAACGGUAACGGGCCUUCGGGUGCCGACGAGUGGCGAACGGGCGAGUAAUACAUCGGAACGUGCCCGAUCGUGGGGGAUAACGAGGCGAAAGCUUUGCUAAUACCGCAUACGAUCUACGGAUGAAAGCAGGGGACCGCAAGGCCUUGCGCGGACGGAGCGGCCGAUGGCAGACUAGGCAGUUGGUGGGAUAAAAGCUUACCAAGCCGACGAUCUGUAGCUGGUCUGAGAGGAUGAUCAGCCACACUGGGACUGAGACACGGCCCAGACUCCUACGGGAGGCAGCAGUGGGGAAUUUUGGACAAUGGGCGCAAGCCUGAUCCAGCCAUGCCGCGUGCAGGAUGAAGGCCUUCGGGUUGUAAACUGCUUUUGUACGGAACGAAAAGCCUUCUUUUAAUACAGGAGGGUCAUGACGGUACCGUAAGAAUAAGCACCGGCUAACUACGUG